UGGGGAAUAUUGCACAAUGGGCGCAAGCCUGAUGCAGCGACGCCGCGUGAGGGAUGACGGCCUUCGGGUUGUAAACCUCUUUCAGCACAGACGAAGCGCAAGUGACGGUAUGUGCAGAAGAAGGACCGGCCAACUACGUGCCAGCAGCCGCGGUAAUACGUAGGGUCCGAGCGUUGUCCGGAAUUACUGGGCGUAAAGAGCUCGUAGGUGGUUUGUCGCGUUGUUCGUGAAAACUCACAGCUUAACUGUGGGCGUGCGGGCGAUACGGGCAGACUAGAGUACUGCAGGGGAGACUGGAAUUCCUGGUGUAGCGGUGGAAUGCGCAGAUAUCAGGAGGAACACCGGUGGCGAAGGCGGGUCUCUGGGCAGUAACUGACGCUGAGGAGCGAAAGCGUGGGGAGCGAACAGGAUUAGAUACCCUGGUAGUCCACGCCGUAAACGGUGGGUACUAGGUGUGGGUUUCCUUCCUUGGGAUCCGUGCCGUAGCUAACGCAUUAAGUACCCCGCCUGGGGAGUACGGCCGCAAGGCUAAAACUCAAAUGAAUUGACGGGGUCAUAGCUGUUUCCU
Molecule: ribosomal RNA, 568 nt
Filed under: uncultured bacterium
Lineage: Bacteria
Description: partial 16S ribosomal RNA
Rfam family: Bacterial small subunit ribosomal RNA
Source: RNAcentral